This is a long non-coding RNA of Nerophis ophidion (straightnose pipefish), 214 nucleotides long. RefSeq lists it as uncharacterized. The transcript is spliced from 2 exons. The record is from RefSeq and is a predicted model, not a curated record. NCBI's taxonomy places the organism in Eukaryota, Metazoa, Chordata, Actinopteri, Syngnathiformes, Syngnathidae.
UGGCGGUGGAGGGAGGGAUAAGGGGUCAGACUGCAAUAGAACUGGCGUCUGAUUCCGAGGCAGAAUAAGAAUUAUGAUUUCAUCAGUCCUGCAUGAUGAAGCGCCGAAGGAAGGAAAGAAGACCGAAAACCAGUGGCCGGCCAACAAUCCAUCACUUUUCUGCCAAUUUUGGCUGUAUUUUAUAAAAUAAAAUCUUGUCUUGUGCCAUGCAUAA